RNAcentral lists this small RNA (60 nucleotides) under Arabidopsis thaliana (thale cress). RNAcentral's name for it is "ATSL100860". Lineage: Eukaryota; Viridiplantae; Streptophyta; Magnoliopsida; Brassicales; Brassicaceae. The record is from RNAcentral.
AAAAGAAAUGAGUUUUUGAAGGAACGGAUUUGACGGGACGAGUUUUGAAUUACAUCAAUA